Molecule: ribosomal RNA, 429 nt
Filed under: Verrucomicrobiota bacterium
Lineage: Bacteria; Pseudomonadati; Verrucomicrobiota
Description: Verrucomicrobia bacterium partial 16S ribosomal RNA
Rfam family: Bacterial small subunit ribosomal RNA
Source: RNAcentral
UAGGGAAUCUUCCGCAAUGGACGAACGUCUGACGGAGCAACGCCGCGUGAGUGAAGAAGGAUUUCGGUUCGUAAAACUCUGUUGUUAGGGAAGAAAAAAUGUAUAGUAACUAUAUACAAAAGAGACGGUACCUAACCAGAAAGCCACGGCUAACUACGUGCCAGCAGCCGCGGUAAUACGUAGGUGGCAAGCGUUGUCCGGAAUUAUUGGGCGUAAAGCGCGCGCAGGUGGUUUAGAAAGUCUGAUGUGAAAGCCCACGGCUCAACCGUGGAGGGUCAUUGGAAACUAAUAAACUUGAGUGCAGGAGAGAAAAGUGGAAUUCCUAGUGUAGCGGUGAAAUGCGUAGAGAUUAGGAGGAACACCGGUGGCGAAGGCGGCUUUUUGGCCUGCAACUGACACUGAGGCGCGAAAGCGUGGGGAGCAAACAGG